This 791-nucleotide long non-coding RNA is filed under the name Manihot esculenta (cassava). Its description in RNAcentral is "long non-coding RNA (MESC_LNC012120)". The record is from RNAcentral. Lineage: Eukaryota; Viridiplantae; Streptophyta; Magnoliopsida; Malpighiales; Euphorbiaceae.
CAUAAACAUGAGAAACAUCAUUGGGGAAUUUCAUGGCAUCAUAAACAUUAAAUUUGAUAACUUCCCCUUCAAACUCCAUAGUCAAUGUGCCAUCAUGCACAUCAAUUUUUGUUCUUGCUGUGCUCAAGAAUGGUCUCCCAAGUAAGAUAUCAGAGGUGGUGUUGCUCUUGUCUUUCUCCAUGUCAAUCACAUAAAAAUAAGCUGGGAAGACUAGUUAGUCCACUUGCACCAACACAUCUUCAAGCACUCCUUUGGGGUAGACAAUGGAUCGAUCAGCCAAUUGGAUCAUAAUGCUGGUGCCCUUGAGUGUACCUGCAUUCAACAAGUUAAAAAUAGAAAGAGGCAUGACAUUUAUUGAAGCUCCAAGGUCACACAUGACCUUCUUUAUUCCUAUGUUGCCUAUUUUGCAUGGAAUGGCAAACAUUCCUCUAUCUUUGCAUUUGGUGGGAAGUUUCUUUUGAAUGACAGCUGAGACACACUCCCCCACACUUACCUUUUUAUGUUCAGCAAGUUUCCUCCUAUUGGUGCAUAGCUCUUUGAGAAAUUUAGCAUACCUUGGUAUUUGUUUGAUAGCAUCAAGUAGGGGUAUGUUGAUUUCCACUUUGCGAAAUGUCUCCAAUAUCUCUUUUUCCUCUUUCUCCUUUUGGGACUUUGCAAAUCUCUUUGGGAAAGGAGGAGGUAUCUUGAAUUUUUCUGCUGGUUGCUGUUUCUGCCUUUGACUGGAUUCUGCCUUCUCUGGUGAUUUGGGCAAAUCACUUUCUGCCUUCUCUGGUGGUUUGGGCAGAUCACUA